UGAUGGGUGCUACAAUGAAGAC
Molecule: non-coding RNA, 22 nt
Filed under: Arabidopsis thaliana (thale cress)
Lineage: Eukaryota; Viridiplantae; Streptophyta; Magnoliopsida; Brassicales; Brassicaceae
Source: RNAcentral